RNAcentral lists this ribosomal RNA (253 nucleotides) under uncultured bacterium. RNAcentral describes it as "partial 16S ribosomal RNA". It matches the Rfam family "Bacterial small subunit ribosomal RNA", at positions 524 to 776 of the family's 1533-position model. The record is from RNAcentral.
AACGUAGGAGGCAAGCGUUGCUCGGAAUUACUGGGCGUAAAGGGCGCGUAGGCGGGAUGGCAAGUCGGUCGUGAAAUCCCUCGGCUCAACCGAGGAACGUCGAUCGAUACUGCUGUUCUUGAGGAUUGCAGAGGAGACUGGAAUUCCCGGUGUAGCGGUGAAAUGUGUAGAGAUCGGGAGGAACACCGGUGGCGAAGGCGGGUCUCUGGGCAAUUCCUGACGCUGAGGCGCGAAAGUGUGGGGAGCGAACAGG